RNAcentral lists this ribosomal RNA (490 nucleotides) under uncultured Alphaproteobacteria bacterium. RNAcentral describes it as "bacterial SSU rRNA". It matches the Rfam family "Bacterial small subunit ribosomal RNA", at positions 9 to 524 of the family's 1533-position model. The record is from RNAcentral. Lineage: Bacteria; Pseudomonadati; Pseudomonadota; Alphaproteobacteria.
GAGUUUGAUCCUGGCUCAGAACGAACGCUGGCGGCAGGCUUAACACAUGCAAGUCGAGCGCCCCGCAAGGGGAGCGGCAGACGGGUGAGUAACGCGUGGGAAUCUACCCAUCCCUACGGAAUAACCCAGGGAAACUUGGACUAAUACCGUAUACGCCCUUCGGGGAAGAUUAUCGGGAGUGGAUGAGCCCGCGUUGGAUUAGCUAGCUGGUGGGGUAAGUGGCCUACCAAGGCGACGAUCCAUAGCUGGUCUGAGAGGAUGAUCAGCCACACUGGGACUGAGACACGGCCCAGACUCCUACGGGAGGCAGCAGUGGGGAAUAUUGGACAAUGGGCGAAAGCCUGAUCCAGCCAUGCCGCGUGAGUGAUGAAGGCCUUAGGGUUGUAAACUGCUUUUGUCAGGGAAGAAAUCCUCUAGGUUAAUACCCUUGGGGGAUGACGGUACCUGAAGAAUAAGCACCGGCUAACUACGUGCCAGCAGCCGCAGUAAU